CGGCAAUGAUUUGAAUGAUUUAUCCGCGCUUCUGAGAGUAAUCAAUGAAGUAAAGGAUUUAAAAUGGUUGAAUUUCUUAAUAUGAGCCG
Molecule: non-coding RNA, 89 nt
Organism: Helianthus annuus (common sunflower)
Lineage: Eukaryota; Viridiplantae; Streptophyta; Magnoliopsida; Asterales; Asteraceae
Source: Rfam